GGGGGUGUCUUGGGACUCGACUUGAGUAUGGACACCGGGAAAGCGAGCCGAGGACUCCUUUCACUCGUAAAAUACUGGAAACUUAAAAUUAUCUGCAAACGAUAAUAAUUACGCUUUAGCGGCUGCGUAAGCAUCCGUUACACUUAUAGGUAACUUGUCUGUGGAUGCCUAUAAGUGUCAUAACUAGCAGGCUACUCAUCCUUUGAAGCUUGUAGAAGGAUGGGGAACUUUACAAGCUAGCAACUUUAGAUCCUGCUUCUGGGAGCUAGAGUUGUGAUUUUAAAGCAGAAGCUACGCUCGUAGAACCCCGAGUGGAGAUACUUAAGGACGGCGGUUCGAAUCCGCCCACCUCCACCA
RNAcentral lists this transfer-messenger RNA (357 nucleotides) under Candidatus Frackibacter sp. WG11. It matches the Rfam family "transfer-messenger RNA". Rfam says of the family: Bacterial tmRNA, also known as 10Sa RNA or SsrA, is named for its dual tRNA and mRNA-like properties. Lineage: Bacteria; Bacillati; Bacillota; Clostridia; Halanaerobiales; Halobacteroidaceae. The record is from RNAcentral. RNAcentral also lists the same sequence under 2 other names.